ACUGCUCAGUAACACGUGGACAACCUGCCCUUUAGGUUGGGUAUAAACCCGGGAAACUGGGUAUAAUACCCGAUAGGUCUCGGUUGCUGGAAUGCAUCGAGAUUUAAAGCUCCGGCGCCUAAGGAUGGGUCUGCGGCCUAUCAGGUAGUAGUGGGUGUAGCGUACCUACUAGCCUACGACGGGUACGGGUUGUGAGAGCAAGAGCCCGGAGAUGGAUUCUGAGACACGAAUCCAGGCCCUACGGGGUGCAGCAGGCGCGAAAACUUUACAAUGCUGGCAACAGCGAUAAGGGAACCUCGAGUGCCAGGUUACAAAUCUGGCUGUCGAGAUGCCUAAAAAGCAUUUCAUAGCAAGGGCCGGGCAAGACCGGUGCCAGCCGCCGCGGUAACACCGGCGGCUCGAGUGGUAACCGUUAUUAUUGGGUCUAAAGGGUCUGUAGCCGGCCGGAUAAGUCUCUUGAGAAAUCUGGCAGCUUAACUGUCAGGCUUUCAGGAGAUACUGUCUGGCUCGAGGCCGGGAGAGGUGAGAGGUACUUCAGGGGUAGGGGUGAAAUCUUGUAAUCCUUGAAGGACCACCAGUGGCGAAGGCGUCUCACCAGAACGGACCUGACGGCAAGGGACGAAAGCUAGGGGCACGAACCGGAUUAGAUACCCGGGUAGUCCUAGCCGUAAACGAUACUCGCUAGGUGUCGGCCACGGUGCGACCGUUGUCGGUGCCGUAGGGAAGCCGUGAAGCGAGCCACCUGGGAAGUACGGCCGCAAGGCUGAAACUUAAAGGAAUUGGCGGGGGAGCAC
This 794-nucleotide ribosomal RNA is filed under the name uncultured archaeon. RNAcentral describes it as "bacterial SSU rRNA". It matches the Rfam family "Archaeal small subunit ribosomal RNA", at positions 85 to 879 of the family's 1478-position model. The record is from RNAcentral.